CUUACACAGCUCUGAUUUCCACCCAUGAACUCAGGAAAUGACACAAAAAUCUGUGAGGAUCCCACAGCACAAGGCCCUCCCUCAGAACUCCUCCACAUUUACACUAAAUCUUUGUUUCUGUACAUAAAUUUAGACCAUUUUCAUUGUUCCCAAGGAAAUUUGCAUGGCCUUUUUGCAUGACCUCCUUACAUGACCCCACAAAUUGCCUACAAAUAUAUACACACAAAUAUAUACUAGAAACAGAAAAAAAACCUUCCAGUUCUGAAGAAUGAAGGUAAAAAACAUCAGAACUGAAAAAUUAAUGACAAGAAUUAACUGUAUUUAUUGUCAAUAUUGACUAUUCUGCAGCUUUACAAGUAUUUCAUCCCCAUAUUAUAAUAAAAACAUCUUCAGAAUAACUCAGACUGUGCAACAAGAGAGUAACAACACAAGCUGUAAUUUAAGAAGUGGUAAUAGCAUCAAGAAAGUAUUAGUUCUUAAAUUAAUUUAAAAUGUAUUAAUCAAAAAACAAUAAUGAAGAACUCAGCAGUGUUACUCAAGAAAAAGAGCCAAAAAUAACAUUUUCUGUCCAAAAGCCUGUUCACAGCUCCAUACACCAGGUACAAAGGCCUAAGGGAUGCACAGCUGGGCUAAACCAGACAAAAGUAACAGAAUGGUGGCUUCUCUUGGAAUCAAUAGUUAACAGGAUUCCAAGGAAAACUAAAAGCAGUUUUCAGAAGUUGUAUCAAAGUCAAUAAUGGAGUUAAGAGGAGCAGGCAGGAAAAGACUUUAAGGCAGCUCACCACAAAAAUGUCCCAGGAGAAUCAUGGAAUGCCACUCUGGUUUGGGUUGGAAGGGACCUUAAAAUCAUUUAUUCCAACUGUGUGCCAUGGCUGCCACCAUGGCAGGCCUGGGACACUGCAGGGCAGCCACAGGGCAGAGCAGCACAGGGAGGAGCAGGAGCCAGAGCCCAUCCUGCCGGGAAGAGUGUGUCCCAAAGGAAACAGCUCCAGCCAGCAGGGCUAAAAACACAGCUGCAAGGAGAAGGAAUGUGGGAAGGCAUGUUGGCAUCUCCUGCAUCCUAACACGGGCUUUGCUGCAAUUCUUGUUCCUCAGAACUCUGAGAAUUCCAUCCUGUGUGUUAUUUACAGAGAGGUGAUCCCAUGGGAUCAUCCCACAGAUACAGCUGCCAGGACCCAAGGUUAUCCCAUGGGAUCACCCCACAGAUACAGCUGCCAGGACCCAAGGUUAUCCCAUGGGAUCAUUCCACAGAUACAGCUGCAAGGACCCAAGGUUAUCCCAUGGGAUCAUCCCAUGGACAGAGCUCCUGCAGCUGCCAGGACCCAAGGUUAUCCCAUGGGAUCACCCCACAGAUACAGCUGCAAGGACCCAAGGUUAUCCCAUGGGAUCAUCCCACGGAUGCAGCUGCCAGGACCCAAGGUUAUUCUAUGGGAUCAUCCCACGGAUGCAGCUGCCAGGACCCAAGGUUAUCCCACAGGAUCACCCCACGGAUGCAGCUGCCAGGACCCAAGGUUACUCUAUGGGAUCACCCCAUGGAUGCAGCUGCCAGGACCCAAGGUUAUUCUAUGGGAUCACCCCACGGCUGCAGCUCCUGCAGCUGCCAGGACCCAAGGUUACUCUAUGGGAUCACCCCACGGCUGCAGCUGCCAGGACCCAAGGUUAUUCUAUGGGAUCACCCCACGGCUGCAGCUGCCCGGCCCCCAGGACCCCAGGAGCCCCAGGAGCCCCAGGAGCCCCAGUCCCCCCGGGCGGGGCAGGAGCCCCCUGGCACAGCCCCGGGAUCCCCGAGCUGGAAAAGCCUCCAGGGCCACCGAGCUGUGCCCGAGCCCAGCACCGAGUGCCACAUCAGCCCGGAACACCGAACUGGGAAUUCCUCUCCGGAGCCACCUGUGGCCCCACCUCUUCUGCUUUUUCAGAAGUUCCUGCAGCCCCCAGGCUCACAGGGAGCUGUGUGGGGUGUGUGGGUGUGGAUGAGGGGCACGUCCCUGGGAUUCAGCAUUUCCGACAGGAAAACAGCAUUUCACACGUUUUAAUUCCCAUUCUUGACACCAACCAGCACAGACUCAUCACCAAACUCACCCCAAACAAACCCCCCAUCACAGGCUGAGCAGAACAGCACAUUUCACCCCAAAAACACCUAAACAGCCCCAAAAACCAAGUCAGAAAUCACAUAUUUGCUUGAAAACUGUCACUGCAUCUCCCACACACAAAGUUUAAUGCAAACAGGCACAUUUUCAACUUAAAAUCAUAAACACUGGUAGGUUUUAAAGAAUUAGCAAUUGACAUCAUCUCUAAAUGCAUAAAUAUGAUGGUACAGAGCUCCCCAGCCCAAAUUUGUAUUUGCUGCACUUCAACAAGAAUUAAGAGAACAGAAUGAGUUCCCUUCAGCUGCAUGAAAACCAGAGUCAGAAAGACAGAAAGUGGCAAAGGGGAAACAAUUCAAGGAAUGUUCUGAUCAAAUUUCAGGGUAAAAAAAAAAAGUUGCCUAGUAGAAUCUUGGUUUUCCUUUACUAUAACAAAUAGCUCUAUAAAAUGUUUUGGCUAAAUGACUUUAAUACCACAGGAGAGCUCCAGUUUGGGAUUAAUUCGAAGCCAUUAUUUUAUACACUCUGAAACAGAAUUUUGGUGCAGUGUCAGCAUUAGCCACGUCCUGGCUGCGUUUCUUUCAGGAUGACAAAGUUUGGAGAGAGAGAGAGAGGAGUACAAAGUGCAGGGAUCAAAGGAAAGCCGGGAUGGCUGCGGACACAGGAGGAUUUUCUCCUCCCCUCUGCAGCUGGAAAAGCAGAUUGUGCGCGGGGAUUGCGGGAAGGCGGCUCGGAGAGCCCGGCCCGGCUGGGCCAUGGGAACUCGGCAGGGACAGAGCGACACGGGCUGGCCCCUCCUCACCCCAGUCCUCGCUGCGAGCACCCCCAGGCCGAGCUGCUUUUGCUUUUUAACCUCUCCACGGGAUCCAGCUUUUCUUGGCUUCACUGAGCUGAAGAUGCCCAAGGAAGGAUUCCCAGCCUUCCAGGUAAAGCAGCAUUUUCUGGCUUCGUCCAGGCUCACUUUUGUACAUUUACAAAUAGGAAAAACUUAAAAACCCACCCAGCUCUGUCCUUAAACAAAAUCUGGCUUUAAAGGCUCAGGGUGGUAAAGUGACUCCACUGUGGAUAAAGCUACAAUAGAAAAAUUCCCUGGUAAGGCCCUCUUAAGGCAAGGAGAGAAUUCCUGCUCACGAUUCUCACACAUGAAAUAAAGAUACAGUGGCAACCCCUUGUAAUUAAUCCUUUUUGGCCAUUUAAUGUGUUCACUACGAUAUAUUCAAGUCACAUCUGGAUUCUCUCAGGAGCGCAGGGACGUUUUCCUUCCAGGGUGCCACUCUGGGAUCAGCCCUGCCCUGCCCAGCACUCAGCACAUUCAUCUCAAUUAGCUGAAAACGACUUUUCAGACCUAAUUAAUCUGACAAAGUCCGUGUGAGGAAGGAAGCGCCGCCACCAGGAGCUUUCCGAGGCCAAGGGUUCCUGGGCUGAGUUAUUUCAACAGGCCCUUGACAGGAAUUCCAGCCAAUCACCCUGACACAAGGACAAAUUCAGCGUUUCCUCUCCCGCAGCAAACUCAGUGAUGCCUGAUAAAUGCAGAAGUGCUUGGAGCGGCAGGGACAGAACUGUAACAAAUUUAUCACAAAUCCUGUUCAAACUUGGAAAGGCCACUCAUUUCCACACACUGGGAGGCUUUUCUAGAUAUGUAUCUCUGUUUUAAGGGAAUGGGAACCAUAGCAUAGGAAAUAAAGCUGAUUUUGGGAUUGGUUUCAGGCACUUGAGCUGCAGAGAUGUGGAAGGUGCUGUCAGGUGCAUUUACCAUUCACACAGCUACAAAAUGCUCAGCAGAGCAGCUACUCAGCCUCCCAAGAAAAAAAAGAUAUUAAAAAAUGAAAUUGUUCACAUUCCCCAAGUUUAUUUUCAACCUCUCCUCACAAUUAAAGACCUGAAUAAUUCCCAGCAUAUUCCAGGGAUAAUUUACCAAACUGAUGAUCUUCUAAACACAAAGAAACAUCUGAAGUAUCAGAUUAUUGAAAUAUGACCAGGUUUUUUUUGCUAUUAAAAUGCCAUUUUGCAGCAUUUCUUCAAGAACCACUUUUAAGGCCCCUUCCUUUUCCUAAGAAUGAAUUUCAUGGAGAACAAAGGCAGCAGAAGGCCGAGGGUGAGACAGCAGCAUCACACACCGAGGUCGUGGCUCAGGGUGAACAAUCCCUGCCCAGCAAUCCCCAAGUGCAGCAGCACUGAUGCAAAGUUCCCUGGCUCCUCUAUGGACAGGGCUGGGAGAAAAAAUGGGAAUUGCCCUCCAGGGACAAGACAAAAGCUGCCAACAAGGAGCGUCCACAGAACACAAGGGGCAGAGAUCAAAGGUUUGGCUGCUCUCCUUCCUCACGGACUAAAUUUAGAACAUUUCUCAGCUCACACGAGUGCACUGCAAAGCACCAUCAGCACCUGCUCCAGGUGAGAGUCUGGAAAUGAUCAGAGAGCCUGGAAUUGAUCAGUCUGGAAUUGAUCACAGAGUCUGGAAUUGAUCACAGAGUCUGGAAUUGAUCACAGAGCCUGGUAUUGAUCACAGAGUCUGGAAUUGGUCACAGAGUCUGGAAUUGAUCACAGAGUCUGGAACUGAUCACAGAGCCUGCAAAUUAUCACAGAGUCUGGAAUUGAUCACAGAGUCUGGAAUUGAUCACAGAGCCUGGAAUUGAUCAGAGUCUGGAAUUGAUCACAGAGCCUGGAAUUGGUCACAGAGUCUGGAAUUGAUCACAGAGCCUGGAAAUUAUCACAGAGUCUGGAAUUGAUCAGAGUCUGGAAUUGAUCAGUCUGGAAUUGAUCAGAGUCUGGAAUUGAUCACAGAGCCUGGAAUUGGUGAGAAUUUGGAAUUGAUCAGAGUCUGGAAUUGAUCACAGCAACUACUCCAGCUGAGUCUGGAACUGUCACCUCUGCUGACAUUCCCCACCAAUCCCACGGACUGAACAUCAGCAUUUAAACCCCAAAAGCCCUGGACAACACCACAAUGUGUCAGGAGACAUCAGCCACCACUGAAUUCUGGCUACAUUUCCCUCCAAAGUACAAACACACAGAAAGCUCACAGUGAGCCAUGACAUGUUUGCAGUCAGGUUAGCUCUGGGCUGUUCAGUGACCAACACACAAAACAACUGAGUGUUUGCAUUCUGAAGCCCUCAGGGCACAGCAAACCCAGCCUGGCAGCCAGGCCUGAGGUGUGCAGUCACUGCCAGGCCCUGUGGGCUCUGGGGAAACCAAGGCAAGGAGAACCUGAGAGGCCACAGCAAGGGGAAGGGGCACGGGGAGGGAAGCAGGGAAAGCAGCUGAAGUGAUGUGCAAACACAGAGAUCUGCCUGCAGCACAACUCUCACCUGCAGCACCUGCCAGAGCUCCUACACAGCACAGCCAGCAGCAGAAAUCCCAACACUGCUCCACAUCAACAGCAACAACUUUUCUGACCAAGCAAGCCCCAGCUCACCCAACCUGUGUGGAUCCAGCCCAGGGAAGACAUAAGACUCAAAAACCAAACACUUGGGUUUAGAAGCAAGUCUGCUUUUUCUUUUUUUAGACUAGAAAAUGUACAAUUCCAUUUCAUAUGCAAGUGUGCACAGAGCUCGUUGCUUGUAGAUACUGUCAGAGAAACUGAGAGAGUCUUUGCAUUAAAUUGUUAAUUCUUCAAACAUUGAUACAUUUUGCAAUACACCAGUUAAAUACCAAGAUCUAUGUGCAUGCACUAGAGAUAUAUGCAUGUACACCUUAAUGUUUAACAAAGACAGCAGAUCCCCCAGCCAGGGAGCGUUGGAGAUACCAAAAAUAGAUUAAAAAGUUAAAUUCUUUACCUGCCUUUGU
Oenanthe melanoleuca is the source of this 5864-nucleotide long non-coding RNA. RefSeq lists it as uncharacterized. Lineage: Eukaryota; Metazoa; Chordata; Aves; Passeriformes; Muscicapidae. The transcript is spliced from 2 exons. The record is from RefSeq and is a predicted model, not a curated record.